This 798-nucleotide ribosomal RNA is filed under the name uncultured bacterium. RNAcentral describes it as "bacterial SSU rRNA". It matches the Rfam family "Bacterial small subunit ribosomal RNA", at positions 544 to 1341 of the family's 1533-position model. The record is from RNAcentral.
UCCGGAAUUAUUGGGCGUAAAGCGCGCGCAGGCGGUUUCUUAAGUCUGAUGUGAAAGCCCCCGGCUCAACCGGGGAGGGUCAUUGGAAACUGGGGAACUUGAGUGCAGAAGAGGAGAGUGGAAUUCCACGUGUAGCGGUGAAAUGCGCAGAGAUAUGGAGGAACACCAGUGGCGAAGGCGGCUCUCUGGUCUGUAACUGACGCUGAUGUGCGAAAGCGUGGGGAUCAAACAGGAUUAGAUACCAUGGUAGUCCACGCCGUAAACGAUGAGUGCUAAGUGUUACGGGGUUUCCGCCCCUUAGUGCUGCAGCUAACGCAUUAAGCACUCCGCCUGGGGAGUACGAGCCGCAGGUUGAAACUCAAAGGAAUUGACGGCGACCCCGGGCAAGCGGUGGAGCAUGUGGUUUAAUUCGAAGCAACGCGAAGAACCGUACCAAAUCUUGACAUCCUCUGACCACCCUGGAGACAGGGUUUCCCUUCGGGGCAGAGUGACAGGUGGUGCAUGGUUGUCGUCAGCUCGUGUCGUGAGAUGUUGGGUUAAGUCCCGCAACGAGCGCAACCCUUAAACUUAGUUGCCAGCAUUGAGUUGGGCACUCUAAGUUGACUGCCGGUGACAAACCGGAGGAAGGUGGGGAUGACGUCAAAUCAUCAUGCCCCUUAUGAUUUGGGCUACACACGUGCUACAAUGGACAGGUGACAAAGGGCAGCUAAGCCGCGAGGCCAAGCGAAUCCCAUAAAACUGUUCUCAGUUCGGAUUGGAGUCUGCAACUCGACUCCAUGAAGCUGGAAUCGCUAGUAA